GAUGAACGCUGGCGGCGUGCCUAAUACAUGCAAGUCGAGCGAACGGACGAGAAGCUUGCUUCUCUGAUGUUAGCGGCGGACGGGUGAGUAACACGUGGAUAACCUACCUAUAAGACUGGGAUAACUUCGGGAAACCGUAGCUAAUACCGGAUAAUAUUUUGAACCGCAUGGUUCAAAAGUGAAAGACGGUCUUGCUGUCACUUAUAGAUGGAUCCGCGCUGCAUUAGCUAGUUGGUAAGGUAACGGCUUACCAAGGCAACGAUGCAUAGCCGACCUGAGAGGGUGAUCGGCCACACUGGAACUGAGACACGGUCCAGACUCCUACGGGAGGCAGCAGUAGGGAAUCUUCCGCAAUGGGCGAAAGCCUGACGGAGCAACGCCGCGUGAGUGAUGAAGGUCUUCGGAUCGUAAAACUCGGUUAUUAGGGAAGAACAUAUGUGUAAGUAACUGUGCACAUCUUGACGGUACCUAAUCAGAAAGCCACGGCUAACUACGUGC
RNAcentral lists this ribosomal RNA (498 nucleotides) under uncultured bacterium. Its description in RNAcentral is "partial 16S ribosomal RNA". It matches the Rfam family "Bacterial small subunit ribosomal RNA", at positions 28 to 508 of the family's 1533-position model. The record is from RNAcentral.